RNAcentral lists this ribosomal RNA (425 nucleotides) under uncultured bacterium. Its description in RNAcentral is "bacterial SSU rRNA". It matches the Rfam family "Bacterial small subunit ribosomal RNA", at positions 354 to 796 of the family's 1533-position model. The record is from RNAcentral.
GUGGGGAAUAUUGCACAAUGGGCGAAAGCCUGAUGCAGCGACGCCGCGUGAAGGAUGAAGUAUUUCGGUAUGUAAACUUCUAUCAGCAGGGAAGAAAAUGACGGUACCUGACUAAGAAGCCCCGGCUAACUACGUGCCAGCAGCCGCGGUAAUACGUAGGGGGCAAGCGUUAUCCGGAUUUACUGGGUGUAAAGGGAGCGUAGACGGCUGUGCAAGUCUGAAGUGAAAGGCAUGGGCUCAACCUGUGGACUGCUUUGGAAACUGUGCAGCUAGAGUGUCGAAGAGGUAAGUGGAAUUCCUAGUGUAGCGGUGAAAUGCGUAGAUAUUAGGAGGAACACCAGUGGCGAAGGCGGCUUACUGGACGAUGACUGACGUUGAGGCUCGAAAGCGUGGGGAGCAAACAGGAUUAGAUACCCUAGUAGUCC